This 394-nucleotide ribosomal RNA is filed under the name uncultured soil bacterium. Its description in RNAcentral is "bacterial SSU rRNA". It matches the Rfam family "Bacterial small subunit ribosomal RNA", at positions 975 to 1368 of the family's 1533-position model. The record is from RNAcentral.
CAAGGCUUGACAUGAACCGGUAAUACCUGGAAACAGGUGCCCCGCUUGCGGUCGGUUUACAGGUGGUGCAUGGUUGUCGUCAGCUCGUGUCGUGAGAUGUUGGGUUAAGUCCCGCAACGAGCGCAACCCUCGUUCUAUGUUGCCAGCGCGUUAUGGCGGGGACUCAUAGGAGACUGCCGGGGUCAACUCGGAGGAAGGUGGGGACGACGUCAAAUCAUCAUGCCCCUUAUGUCUUGGGCUUCACGCAUGCUACAAUGGCCGGUACAAAGGGUUGCGAUACUGUGAGGUGGAGCUAAUCCCAAAAAGCCGGUCUCAGUUCGGAUUGGGGUCUGCAACUCGACCCCAUGAAGUCGGAGUCGCUAGUAAUCGCAGAUCAGCAACGCUGCGGUGAAUA